Molecule: ribosomal RNA, 305 nt
Filed under: uncultured bacterium
Lineage: Bacteria
Description: bacterial SSU rRNA
Rfam family: Bacterial small subunit ribosomal RNA
Source: RNAcentral
CUCCUACGGGGGGCAGCAGUGAGGGAUAUUGGUCAAUGGGGGAAACCCUGAACCAGCAACGCCGCGUGAGGGAAGACGGUUUUCGGAUUGUAAACCUCUGUCCUCUGUGAAGAUAAUGACGGUAUCUAACGAAUAAGCACCGGCUAACUCCGUGCCAGCAGCCGCGGUAAUACGGAGGGUGCAAGCGUUACUCGGAAUCACUGGGCGUAAAGAGCGCGUAGGCGGGAUAGCAAGUCAGAUGUGAAAUCCUAUGGCUUAACCAUAGAACUGCAUUUGAAACUGUUAUUCUAGAGUAUGGGAGAGGG